GACAGAGGGUGCAAACGUUGUUCGGAAUUACUGGGCGUAAAGCGCGUGUAGGCGGCCAUCUAAGUCGGGCGUGAAAUCCCACGGCUCAACCGUGGAAGUGCACUCGAAACUGGAUGGCUAGAGUCCUGGAGAGGAAGGUGGAAUGCUUGGUGUAGAGGUGAAAUUCGUAGAUAUCAAGCGGAACACCGGUGGCGAAGGCGGCCUUCUGGACAGUGACUGACGCUGAGACGCGAAAGCGUGG
Molecule: ribosomal RNA, 241 nt
Filed under: uncultured bacterium
Lineage: Bacteria
Description: partial 16S ribosomal RNA
Rfam family: Bacterial small subunit ribosomal RNA
Source: RNAcentral